RNAcentral lists this ribosomal RNA (482 nucleotides) under uncultured bacterium. RNAcentral describes it as "bacterial SSU rRNA". It matches the Rfam family "Bacterial small subunit ribosomal RNA", at positions 30 to 506 of the family's 1533-position model. The record is from RNAcentral.
UUGAACGCUGGCGGCAUGCCUUACACAUGCAAGUCGAACGGCAGCACGGGAGCAAUCCUGGUGGCGAGUGGCGAACGGGUGAGUAAUAUAUCGGAACGUGCCCAGUCGUGGGGGAUAACGCAGCGAAAGCUGUGCUAAUACCGCAUACGAUCUACGGAUGAAAGCGGGGGAUCGCAAGACCUCGCGCGAUUGGAGCGGCCGAUAUCAGAUUAGCUAGUUGGUGGGGUAAAAGCCCACCAAGGCGACGAUCUGUAGCUGGUCUGAGAGGACGACCAGCCACACUGGAACUGAGACACGGUCCAGACUCCUACGGGAGGCAGCAGGGGGGAAUUUUGGACAAUGGGGGCAACCCUGAUCCAGCCAUGCCGCGUGAGUGAAGAAGGCCUUCGGGUUGUAAAGCUCUUUCAGCCGGGAAGAAAUCACAUGGGUUAAUACCCUGUGUGGAUGACGGUACCGGAAUAAGAAGCACCGGCUAACUACGU